This is a long non-coding RNA of Austrofundulus limnaeus, 666 nucleotides long. RefSeq lists it as uncharacterized. The record is from RefSeq and is a predicted model, not a curated record. The transcript has 3 exons. NCBI's taxonomy places the organism in Eukaryota, Metazoa, Chordata, Actinopteri, Cyprinodontiformes, Rivulidae.
UGCUCGACAUCAGCAGGAGUUUGGCUCUGGGGAAGGUUAACUGAAGGAAGAGGAAACAGAAGGAGGAAUGAAUAAUGUUUCCUAAAAAGACCACAUCCAGUCACCCUGGGAAUUUCGGACUAGAUGCAACGAUAUCCCAAACUAUGAAAGACCUACAAACGUCUGGACAUCCAUCUCCUGAGACCACAGAUCCACCACAUCCAGGAUCAACUAAAGUGCUUACCAGGUGAAGCCACAUCUUCUGAGAGACAAGCCAGCUGAGAUGGUGAGAUGGAUUACAGACCAUCUUACAGAGACCACAGAACUGCAGGUGAUCUCCUCCCCCAGCCGUAUUCUGGCUUUCCCCAUGGCCGAUCAACAGUCUGCUUCGUAGCMCCCACAGUGUGUGACUAAUAUGGACUUUUUGCUUGGAGGAUUAUGUGUCUAAAGAGUGUGUGUGGGUUUGUUUUAGUUUAUUGUGAGGACCCACUGUCCACCAAAUGUAUGUAUUUUUGACUAGCUGUACAGGAAUUUAUGCUAACACUGUUUUUGACGUCCAUCAUGACAAAGUGGGCGGUCUUUUGGGGUGUGUGACAUCACGUGCAAAGGGUCAAUAAAUUCAAUUCAAUUCAAUUUAUUUAUAUAGCACUAAAUCACAACAAUUGUCGUCUCAGGGCACUGUACACA